Tympanuchus pallidicinctus (lesser prairie-chicken) is the source of this 3201-nucleotide long non-coding RNA. RefSeq lists it as uncharacterized. The record is from RefSeq and is a predicted model, not a curated record. The transcript has 10 exons. NCBI's taxonomy places the organism in Eukaryota, Metazoa, Chordata, Aves, Galliformes, Phasianidae.
CCAGAGAAAACAGUCUUUGGGUUCAGCGGGUCCUGAGGCAAAGAAACUUUAUUAUGUUUUGGGCAGGAUCUGUCAAACACUGCCAGGUGCAGUGCUAUAUACCUAACUUGAAUCUUCCUGGCAGAUGGGGGCCUAAGCUAGAAAGCAUGCAGCUGAGGAUGAAGGCCGUGAUAGUCUGUUUUUCAUCAAAAGCUUGAGAUCACAGCAGCAACACAGAGCUGGAAGAGCAAGAGAAGUCUGGGGCUCUGAAACGGACUGGGAGGGUAAGAGUGCAGCUGAAGAACUUGGAGAGCCACUUGAGGAGGAGGAAAAGAUCAAUGGAGGAAGGAAGCACACCUUCCCAUGCAGAAGACAGAGUUGUACUCCGAUCUCAUGUACAGCAAGAAGAGCAUCCAGCUCCAAAGCUUAUCCACCAUGGGCAAGACAAAGGAAAAUUCCAGAUCUGAAUUUGCAGCCAGAAUUCAGGAACCAGAGGAAGGAGCUCAGGAGGUUGUGCUUUUCAGGACAGCUGUGGAGCUGCAUUGUGACAAAGGACUGAGACGGACGAGUUUCAAGGCUGGGAGCCACCCAUAUACACUGAGUGUAUAUGAGGCAGGCUGAUGAGGGGCUGAUGGAGAGGUGACUAUGUCACACCGCUGUCUGGGCCAGGAGCAUGCUACAAGUACAGUCAGAAGCAAAGCUGUCUGUCCACCUGUUGACUUCACCAGCUUGGAGGAUCUGAGGGCUGUAGCCACGGUCAGCAGCAAUGCUUUCCACCAGGAGUAUGAGCAGGUGCAAGGGACAGCAGCUGCAACCCUUGGCGUUUGCCAAGCGCAAACCAAAGCAAAAGGAUUCUGGAAGAAAGUCAGAAGUGAAACACUGGACUGCUGAAGUGCACAGUGAGGAAAAGACUGGGAGAAGAAUGUGAAGGAUUCCUGGCCUCAAUAGAAGGUAAAAAGUCAUAAAAUAGCAGGGUAACAGAAGUUAUUGGAAAAGGGCCAUAGUAUCUGUUAUGCAAAGGAAAGCAGGAUUUGGCGGUGCCACACCAAGAGGGACAUCCAUAUUCUGUGCUGGAUGAAUACCUGGCUUGCUUUCUCAGCCACUUAAUACUGACCUCAGCCUACUGGGUGCAGUGCACACCUUAGAAAUGUCCCUUUUGCUCUCAGGAUGUGGUUAGUGGCUGUGCUACCUCCAGAAGAGUGGUUUGAUAGCAGUGGGGACUUGUUCCUUGUGGGGCCUUAAGGAAUCUUGUAAUGGCAGAACUACAGGGAAAAACAGUAAAGAGACAAAAAUACUUCAGAAUGAGGUUAAACAUUCCUAAAAGCAACAAAAAGAGUUGGUUGGAUACUCAUGUUAAGUAACAUGAGAACAGAGAAUUAUUUCUUUUUACCCAGACAGUGCAGGUCCGCUUUGCUUUGUUGCUUGGUGUGUUUACUAAGAAGAUGAGGGGUAGAGCUACACUGCCCAUGUGUAUUGAGCAUGUGUAAGCAGAUGUAAGCGUGGUAUCCCACCUAGCACUCUGGAGCAAAGUUGAACGUUUCCUGGGAGAAAAAUAGCAACCUAAUGGGAUCCUAUUACUGCAAUAUCUGCUAUUUCUUUCUAACAUUGCAGGCUUACACCAAUGCAUAUUGCUCAUCUAGGAGGGUUGUUGAUUUUUUUUUUUGCUGUGGAAAAACUGAAGUCAUAAAACUCCAGGACGUCAGGAUACGCCAGCAGGUAAGUGCAUUUUAACCUGCCAGGAAAUCUCUGAUAAUUUGGGCUUUGCUGUAUACUUAUGUGUGUAUAUGUGUGUGUGUAUUUGCUACUGUUUUACUUUAUGGUAAUUUUACAUACUACCAUACACAUACAUAUAAUACAUGUGUAUUUGGGGUUUAAUGACAUGGGUUUGAUGAGAAGUGAGGUGGCAGGUUAGAAAGGAAAGUGGAAGCACAGCCUUGCAUCUGUCCCUUCUGUUGUAGUCACUUCCAUGUCAGCAAACACAGUGUGUGUGUGCACGCUGUCACUGGUCAAGUAUCUGUCAUUUGUUAGCCUUUUUGACAUCUUUGUUGGGGAGAAGGUUUUACCGUGUCUUUUUAACACACGAUGUUGUAAGCUGUCAGAAGGUCAUACAGGUAGCUGUUUUCAUGCUGUGCACAUUUCUUCCACUUGCCUAUGCAUAUACAAGCAGACUUUCAUUGUCUGGCAUCUAUUUAUGAAGGUCUGAACAGAAAGGGCAGUGAUAAAGUUCUUUGUAAGACCAACUCAGGACUUUUUUUUUUUUUUUUCUGAGGCUUGCAUGAACAUGGCAGCAUCUGCUCUGUCCUGGCUGGCACAGAAGCACCUGGAAGAGUGGCAGCAUCACCCCAGCCAACUCCCUCACACCUCAUCACUUCAGAAACAGAGUGAGAAUGGAAGAGAAGGGGACAACAUGGUGGCACUGCAGAGCCAGGGCAGAGGAUCCCUAUGAAGUGGCAGCAGUUCAGGACAGAGUUAUGACACAAAUCAAGGCGCUGGUUGAAGCUUUGUUCCAGGUGCCUCUACCAAGAAACUACCUUCAAAGAAAGCAGAGCUUGAAGAAGUUGCUGACCUUCUGAUGCAUCAUUCUAAUCAGCCAGUGUUUCUAAGCUCUCCAGAUCGGCAGCAGUUCAGCUGAAAAGCAAAAUCAUGGGCAGCUGCACAGGACCAAAUGCUUAAGCGCUGUGAAAGAAACAAAACAGGGCUCCACAAGGUCCAGCAAGUCUUCAGUGAAGUGUAUUAUAGCUGGAAUAUGCACUGGAACUGCCACAUCUCCCUCCCACAAGAAUCACCUGUAGAUUUUGGAAGACAUCAAUUUGCAGUCCAUGAUACCAGUGCAUGAUCAGCCUUAAGGACUUCAGUAAAAAGGAUCAUACAUUGGCUGAGGCAAUGGGAAACUAAGGCAGUGGGAUCAGAAACAUCUCUGUUGAACAACAUACACCAGCUGCAUUCCAGUCAUGUGUGGAGACAAAGACAGGUACCUCUUCAUAAAAAUGAGUAAAAAACAAAGAACUAUCAUUAAGUUAAGCACUGGCAAAUUUCAUUAGCAAAUGUAGAAGUGCAGACUGCCCAAAUCAGAACUCUAGAGAAGAGAAGAAGCACAUAUCACUGCUGCAGUCACUGCUGGAGUGCGUCUGAAAGCAAUUUGGUGAUUUGCUGUCAUGCUUCAAAGUCAGUUGCAGCAGAAAGCAGAAAAGUUGAUGAGAAUCUCCUUAAAACAAUCCCUUG